UACGGAGGGUGCAAGCGUUAUCCGGAUUCACUGGGUUUAAAGGGUGCGUCGGAGGGCAGGUAAGUCAGUGGUGAAAUCUCCGAGCUUAACUCGGAAACUGCCGUUGAUACUAUCUGUCUUGAAUCCCGUGGAGAUGAGCGGAAUAUGUCAUGUAGCGGUGAAAUGCUUAGAUAUGACAUAGAACACCAAUUGCGAAGGCAGCUCGUUACACGAAGAUUGACUCUGAGGCACGAAAGCGUGGGGAUCAAACAGG
RNAcentral lists this ribosomal RNA (253 nucleotides) under uncultured bacterium. Its description in RNAcentral is "partial 16S ribosomal RNA". It matches the Rfam family "Bacterial small subunit ribosomal RNA", at positions 524 to 776 of the family's 1533-position model. The record is from RNAcentral.